This 67-nucleotide transfer RNA is filed under the name Sinanodonta tumens. RNAcentral describes it as "tRNA-Pro". Lineage: Eukaryota; Metazoa; Mollusca; Bivalvia; Unionida; Unionidae. The record is from RNAcentral.
CAGAAAAUAGUUUAAUAAAAAAAUAAAAACUUUGGGAGUUUUAGUCUUAGUAGUACUAAUUUUCUGA